CAGUAGCCGCGGGAAUACGUAGGGUGCAAGCGUUAAUCGGAAAUACUGGGCGUAAAGCGUGCGCAGGCGGUUAUAUAAGACAGAUGUGAAAUCCCCGGGCUCAACCUGGGAACUGCAUUUGUGACUGUAUAGCUAGAGUACGGCAGAGGGGGAUGGAAUUCCGCGUGUAGCAGUGAAAUGCGUAGAUAUGCGGAGGAACACCGAUGGCGAAGGCAAUCCCCUGGGCCUGUACUGACGCUCAUGCACGAAAGCGUGGGGAGCAAACAGGAUUAGAUACCCGCGUAGUCCCUGUCUCUUAUAC
RNAcentral lists this ribosomal RNA (301 nucleotides) under uncultured bacterium. RNAcentral's name for it is "partial 16S ribosomal RNA". It matches the Rfam family "Bacterial small subunit ribosomal RNA", at positions 509 to 807 of the family's 1533-position model. The record is from RNAcentral.